RNAcentral lists this ribosomal RNA (871 nucleotides) under uncultured bacterium. RNAcentral describes it as "bacterial SSU rRNA". It matches the Rfam family "Bacterial small subunit ribosomal RNA", at positions 28 to 896 of the family's 1533-position model. The record is from RNAcentral.
GAUGAGCGCUAGCGACAGGCCUAACACAUGCAAGUCGAGGGGCAGCACAGGUAGCAAUACUUGGUGGCGACCGGCGCACGGGUGAGUAACGCGUAUGCAACCUACCUGUAACAGGGGAAUAGCUCCCUGAAAGGGGAAUUAAAACCGCAUAAGACCACACUAUCGCAUGGUAGAGUGGUAAAAUAUUUAUAGGUUACAGAUGGGCAUGCGUGACAUUAGCCAGUCGGUGAGGUAACGGCUCACCAAAGCUACGAUGUCUAGGGGUUCUGAGAGGAAGGUCCCCCACACUGGUACUGAGACACGGACCAGACUCCUACGGGAGGCAGCAGUGAGGAAUAUUGGUCAAUGGGCGCAAGCCUGAACCAGCCAUGUCGCGUGCAGGACGACGGCCCUACGGGUUGUAAACUGCUUUUGUACGGGAAGAAAUAUAUCUACGAGUAGAUAUUUGCCGGUACCGUACGAAUAAGGAUCGGCUAACUCCGUGCCAGCAGCCGCGGUAAUACGGAGGAUCCGAGCGUUAUCCGGAUUUAUUGGGUUUAAAGGGUGCGUAGGCGGAAUGGUAAGUCAGUGGUGAAAUACUGCAGCUUAACUGUAGCAUUGCCAUUGAUACUGUCAUUCUUGAGUACAGUUGGGGUAGGCGGAAUGUGGUGUGUAGCGGUGAAAUGCUUAGAUAUACCACAGAACACCGAUUGCGAAGGCAGCUUACUAAACUGACACUGACGCUGAAGCACGAAAGCGUGGGGAUCAAACAGGAUUAGAUACCCUGGUAGUCCACGCCGUAAACGAUGAUUACUGGUUGUUUGCGAUACACAGCCAAGUGACUGAGCGAAAGCAUUAAGUAAUCCACCUGGGGAGUACGUCGGCAACGAUG